Molecule: non-coding RNA, 23 nt
Filed under: Mus musculus (house mouse)
Lineage: Eukaryota; Metazoa; Chordata; Mammalia; Rodentia; Muridae
Source: RNAcentral
UGUGUGAUGCAUACGACGGUGUC